AAAGGCCCGAAAGGUGACGACCCUUCGGGGAGCUUGCACAGGUGCUGCAUGGCUGUCGUCAGCUCGUGUCGUGAGAUGUUCGGUUAAGUCCGCUAACGAGCGCAACCCUCGCUGUGUGUUAUAUGUGUCACACGGGACUGCCGGUCUUAAGCCGGAGGAAGGUGGGGAUGAUGUCAAGUCAGCAUGGCCUUUAUAUCCUGGGCUACACACACGCUACAAUGGCCAACACAAUAGGUUGCUAAGCCGCGAGGUGGCGCCAAUCCAUAAAGUUGGUCUCAGUUCAGAUUGUAGGCUGCAACCCGCCUGCAUGAAGAUGGAGUUGCUAGUAACCGCAGGUCAGCUAUACUGCGGUGAAUACGUUCCCGGGGCUU
This 371-nucleotide ribosomal RNA is filed under the name uncultured Leptolinea sp. RNAcentral describes it as "bacterial SSU rRNA". It matches the Rfam family "Bacterial small subunit ribosomal RNA", at positions 994 to 1382 of the family's 1533-position model. The record is from RNAcentral. Lineage: Bacteria; Bacillati; Chloroflexota; Anaerolineae; Anaerolineales; Anaerolineaceae.